AACAACCACAAGUAGAAAUAGACAUAGAUAAGAGAGAAAGAUAAAAUUAAU
RNAcentral lists this non-coding RNA (51 nucleotides) under Trypanosoma brucei brucei. Lineage: Eukaryota; Euglenozoa; Kinetoplastea; Trypanosomatida; Trypanosomatidae. The record is from RNAcentral.